RNAcentral lists this long non-coding RNA (665 nucleotides) under Equus caballus (horse). RNAcentral's name for it is "lncRNA (ENSECAG00000057635.1)". Lineage: Eukaryota; Metazoa; Chordata; Mammalia; Perissodactyla; Equidae. The record is from RNAcentral.
UGGCUUUGCCAGGGGCAGGGGCUGUUACUCACACCCGCUGGUCUGGGUUCAGAUCAGUUCUGUUCUCUGGUCUCCCAAGGCCCUUGAUUUAUAGGGUCCCCGCCGACGGAAGCUUUCCCCCUGUUAGCGGGUCUCCACUGAAUCAGCGGCAGGAGUCCUGGAUGAACCCCUGGUCGUGCAGCCCCUACCCCGCUCCUUCCCGACCCGUGCGGCAGCGAUCGCAGACUCUAGGGGAGGGGGCGAUGUUCUCUCCUACCCUUCCGGCGCCUCCGAAGGUGUAAGCAAGGUCUUCCAGAUUGGGGAUUUGUCUUCACCAAGCUGCUGGAGAGUCCUGCCUCUCAGAUUAAAACCGACCGAUAAAAGAGAAGUAUCAGACAGCAGUGACUGAAUUUCUUUUCUUGAGCCUCACAGAUCAUCUCCCUCAGCAGAUUGUCCUCUUUGCCAUGCUUCUCCUUGUCUAUCUUGUCACAUUGGGGAGUAACAUGGGGAUGAUCACGUUCGGAUUGAUCCCAGACUUCACACGCCUACAUACCUUUUCUUGAGCCACCUCUCCUUUGUAGAUAUUUCUUCCUCCUCUUCCAUUGCACCCAAGAUGUUCUGUGAUAUCUUUGUGGAGAAAAAAAGGCAUCUCUUUCAUGGUUGUGCUGCACAGAUGUGGUUCUCUG